GACGAACGCUGGCGGCGUGCCUAAUACAUGCAAGUUGAGCGCUGAAGGUUGGUACUUGUACCGACUGGAUGAGCAGCGAACGGGUGAGUAACGCGUGGGGAAUCUGCCUUUGAGCGGGGGACAACAUUUGGAAACGAAUGCUAAUACCGCAUAAAAACUUUAAACACAAGUUUUAAGUUUGAAAGAUGCAAUUGCAUCACUCAAAGAUGAUCCCGCGUUGUAUUAGCUAGUUGGUGAGGUAAAGGCUCACCAAGGCGAUGAUACAUAGCCGACCUGAGAGGGUGAUCGGCCACAUUGGGACUGAGACACGGCCCAAACUCCUACGGGAGGCAGCAGUAGGGAAUCUUCGGCAAUGGACGAAAGUCUGACCGAGCAACGCCGCGUGAGUGAAGAAGGUUUUCGGAUCGUAAAACUCUGUCGGUAGAGAAGAACGUUGGUGAGAGUGGAAAGCUCAUCAAGUGACGGUAACUACCCAGAAAGGGACGGCUAACUACGUG
RNAcentral lists this ribosomal RNA (497 nucleotides) under uncultured bacterium. Its description in RNAcentral is "partial 16S ribosomal RNA". It matches the Rfam family "Bacterial small subunit ribosomal RNA", at positions 28 to 507 of the family's 1533-position model. The record is from RNAcentral.